CCAUAACAAAAAAAAAAAAAAACAACAAAAAAAAAAAAAAAAUUUCCAUUUCUUUGAUCAAAAUGAACUCAAAACAACCUUACAAAUCUGAAUCUGACCUCCCAGUCCCACCACUCCCCACCCUUCCCUGCCUCCACUCCCCUACCACCCCGAAUUCCACCUCCAACCGCCGUGUCGCCAUAGCCGUGGACCUUUCCGACGAGAGUGCAUAUGCAGUCAAAUGGGCAGUCGAGAACUACCUCCGACCAGGCGACGCCGUGAUCCUCCUCCACGUCCGGCCAACUUCCGUCCUCUAUGGCGCUGAUUGGGGGUCAAUUCAACUCCAAAUCAAUAACAACAACACGCCUUUUGAGCUAAGUGGCUCAAACAGUCCUGAUAAUCGAGAAAGGCAGAAACUUGAGGAUGAUUUUGAUAGUUUUACUAAUAACAAAACCAAUUUGUUGGCUAAACCUUUGUUGGAGGCUAAUGUUCCUUUCAAGAUUCAUGUAGUGAAAGAUCAUGACAUGAAGGAGAGGCUCUGUUUGGAAGUUGAGAGAUUGGGGUUAAGUGCAGUGAUAAUGGGAAGUAGAGGUUUUGGUGCUACAAGAAAGAAGGGGAUUAGUAAAGGAAGAAGUGUUGGUGGUGGGAGGUUAGGGAGUGUUAGUGAUCAUUGUGUGCAGCAUUGUGUUUGCCCUGUUGUUGUUGUUAGGUGUAGUGAUGAUGGUAAAGAAGAAGAGAGUGUGAAAACAGGUGGUGUUGGUGACGGGGUUGAAGAGGGUCUCCAUCCUGUGCCUGAGGAGGAUCAAGAGGAGUGUGUUGAUGAUGAGCUGAAAGAUGCUUAGAAAGUGCUCAGUGCAAUUGCAAGCCCCCUCUUGAAUACAGGUGACAAUUAAUUGCAGCUAACAAUUUAAGGCCCCAAAAUAGUUGAAGGCUGUGAACUGUCAAGAAUUACUCUCUGUCUGGUUUCUUUAGAAUUCCUUGUCAACUGGCUUGUUUUCAGAUGCGAUGUAUUGGUAGUUACAUAUCUUCACCCAGUUUCUCUGAGAAUGUUAAUAGGUUUUUAGCAUUCCAAUGUCUUGUGAGAACUGGCUUUUAGAGUUGUACAAAUUUAAAAGUUGCACACUCUGGUUUCUGGACAUCUUUUGCAUCCCUUCUUUUCUUUGUAUGUGUAAAAAGUGUGCACCUUGCAUGAUGAUGUAUAAUACACUUUCAUGGCCUUCAGGGAAUCAGGCCAUGGCCUUGCCCAUGUUAUUUCUUCAUUGGCUCCU
Molecule: RNA transcript, 1247 nt
Organism: Populus trichocarpa (black cottonwood)
Lineage: Eukaryota; Viridiplantae; Streptophyta; Magnoliopsida; Malpighiales; Salicaceae
Gene name: universal stress protein PHOS32
Exons: 3
Source: RefSeq, a predicted model, not a curated record